ACUCCUACGGGAGGCAGCAGUGGGGAAUAUUGCACAAUGGGCGCAAGCCUGAUGCAGCGACGCCGCGUGCGGGAUGACGGCCUUCGGGUUGUAAACCGCUUUUGACUGGGAGCAAGCCUUCGGGG
This 125-nucleotide ribosomal RNA is filed under the name uncultured Bifidobacterium sp. RNAcentral's name for it is "partial 16S ribosomal RNA". It matches the Rfam family "Bacterial small subunit ribosomal RNA", at positions 335 to 459 of the family's 1533-position model. The record is from RNAcentral. Lineage: Bacteria; Bacillati; Actinomycetota; Actinomycetes; Bifidobacteriales; Bifidobacteriaceae.